CUGGCAUAAUUGAUACUGUUUUCAAUGCUCUAAGCACUCGAAACGUUCGUAAUCCAGCUAAAUUUCCUACAUCCAUGCCGAUUGUGGCGUAACCUGAAGUAAUAACAAUGAAGUCAAGCCAAUUCCACGGGUUCCGCAAAAACAAAUUAUAUUUAAAAGAGAAACGGAAAUGCAGAACCAAACUUAAGGGACGGUUACAAUGGUAUCGAAUUAUAAACGUAAAACCACACGACAGUUAUGGACAGAAAGUGAUAUGAAAAAGCUAUAUCUGCUAUAGACAAAAAAGAAAUUGGUUGGCUUAAGGCGUCUAAAAAAUGUAAUGUUCAAGCUACUCUUCGUCGUCAAUGUCAGGACAAAAAUAAAUUAGCUAUUGGUGUUACGAAAACACUAAGUCGACCUAGCACUUUUUGACCUUCUUUGAAAAAAAAAAGUUGAGCACAUACCAGAAAUGGAAUCUAGAUUUUUUGGAUUUACUGUGAAAGAAGUUCAGAAAUUGGCCUAUAAUGUAGCAAAAGAAGCUUGUAUACCUCAUAUAUUUAAUAUUAAAAAAAAAGAAGCGGGUCAAGAUUGGUUGUAUUAUUAAUUUAAAAGAUUUUUUAAUAUAUAGAUUAAAGAAGUUACUUAUGUUUUAUUUUAUAAUUAAGAACCCAAGUUUUAAAUUAAAAUAUUUUAAGU
Daktulosphaira vitifoliae (grape phylloxera) is the source of this 675-nucleotide long non-coding RNA. RefSeq lists it as uncharacterized. Lineage: Eukaryota; Metazoa; Arthropoda; Insecta; Hemiptera; Phylloxeridae. The transcript is spliced from 3 exons. The record is from RefSeq and is a predicted model, not a curated record.